AUGCAGUCGAGCGGAUGAGUGGAGCUUGCUCCAUGAUUCAGCGGCGGACGGGUGAGUAAUGCCUAGGAAUCUGCCCGGUAGUGGGGGAUAACGUUCCGAAAGGAACGCUAAUACCGCAUACGUCCUACGGGAGAAAGCAGGGGACCUUCGGGCCUUGCGCUAUCGGAUGAGCCUAGGUCGGAUUAGCUAGUUGGUGAGGUAAUGGCUCACCAAGGCGACGAUCCGUAACUGGUCUGAGAGGAUGAUCAGUCACACUGGAACUGAGACACGGUCCAGACUCCUACGGGAGGCAGCAGUGGGGAAUAUUGGACAAUGGGCGAAAGCCUGAUCCAGCCAUGCCGCGUGUGUGAAGAAGGUCUUCGGAUUGUAAAGCACUUUAAGUUGGGAGGAAGGGUUGUACGUUAAUACCGUGCAAUUUUGACGUUACCGACAGAAUAAGCACCGGCUAACUUCGUGCCAGCAGCCGCGGUAAUACGAAGGGUGCAAGCGUUAAUCGGAAUUACUGGGCGUAAAGCGCGCGUAGGUGGUUCGUUAAGUUGGAUGUGAAAGCCCCGGGCUCAACCUGGGAACUGCAUCCAAAACUGGCGAGCUAGAGUACGGUAGAGGGUGGUGGAAUUUCCUGUGUAGCGGUGAAAUGCGUAGAUAUAGGAAGGAACACCAGUGGCGAAGGCGACCA
This 676-nucleotide ribosomal RNA is filed under the name Pseudomonas oleovorans subsp. oleovorans. RNAcentral's name for it is "bacterial SSU rRNA". It matches the Rfam family "Bacterial small subunit ribosomal RNA", at positions 55 to 727 of the family's 1533-position model. Lineage: Bacteria; Pseudomonadati; Pseudomonadota; Gammaproteobacteria; Pseudomonadales; Pseudomonadaceae. The record is from RNAcentral.